AUUGAACGCUGGCGGCAUGCCUUACACAUGCAAGUCGAACGGCAGCAUGAUCUAGCUUGCUAGAUUGAUGGCGGGUGGCGAACGGGUGAGUAAUACAUCGGAACGUGCCCUGUAGUGGGGGAUAACUAGUCGAAAGAUUAGCUAAUACCGCAUACGACCUGAGGGUGAAAGUGGGGGACCGCAAGGCCUCAUGCUAUAGGAGCGGCCGAUGUCUGAUUAGCUAGUUGGUGAGGUAAAGGCUCACCAAGGCGACGAUCAGUAGCUGGUCUGAGAGGACGAUCAGCCACACUGGGACUGAGACACGGCCCAGACUCCUACGGGAGGCAGCAGUGGGGAAUUUUGGACAAUGGGCGAAAGCCUGAUCCAGCAAUGCCGCGUGUGUGAAGAAGGCCUUCGGGUUGUAAAGCACUUUUGUCCGGAAAGAAAUGGCUCUGGUUAAUACCUGGGGUCGAUGACGGUACCGGAAGAAUAAGGACCGGCUAACUACGUG
This 490-nucleotide ribosomal RNA is filed under the name uncultured bacterium. RNAcentral's name for it is "partial 16S ribosomal RNA". It matches the Rfam family "Bacterial small subunit ribosomal RNA", at positions 30 to 507 of the family's 1533-position model. The record is from RNAcentral.